This 268-nucleotide unclassified non-coding RNA is filed under the name Hevea brasiliensis (rubber tree). Lineage: Eukaryota; Viridiplantae; Streptophyta; Magnoliopsida; Malpighiales; Euphorbiaceae. The record is from RNAcentral.
CUCAGCUUCCGCUCAUCAGCAUUCUACCUUCUCGAGUACUUGUACUUGCCCACAUUCAUUACCACACCUUCUAUACUACUUACUCUAUUCUAAUACCCACCUAAUCAACCACACUCCAUAACAAUGCGUUUCUUCGAGACUGUUCUUGCUGGCGCCGCCCUUGUGGCCGCUGCCUUCGCCGUCGAGAUCAACGACUUCCCCAGCAACCCUGAGGUUGGCAAGACCUACACCAUCACCUACUCGCCCAAGGACAACACCCCAACCACCA